Long non-coding RNA from Sceloporus undulatus (fence lizard), 2500 nucleotides. RefSeq lists it as uncharacterized. The transcript has 4 exons. Lineage: Eukaryota; Metazoa; Chordata; Lepidosauria; Squamata; Phrynosomatidae. The record is from RefSeq and is a predicted model, not a curated record.
GCAAGCUUCGAAAAUGAAUUUAUGGCGAAACGGCAUGAUCCUGAGUCAAGCGGAGCAAUUUUCUGGAGCCAGAUCGGCUGUUUCAAUGAAGCCGGCUGCUGGGAUUUACUCAUCUGGCGUGUAAGUAUUAAUUUAUGAAGCCGGUGAUUAAGGAGAAAGAGAUCCAGCCUCCGUCGAACCGGGAAGAAUCCAGUUUCCCUUCCCAGCCAUAACUCGGGUGUUCACCUGGAAGGCCCCUGAAACCUCUCCUCCAAAAAGCCUUCGAAUUUAAUGACCUGUCAAGCAAACCCUUCAGUUUGCAAAAAGUUGGAUUCAAGAAACUUUUCGGAGCGGAUGUUGUCGGCCCUUGCUCCUCCCAUAGGAUUUUCCUGACCCAAUUAUUUAGGAUCCUAAUGAUUUUUCCAGCCCACGAAACCCUCCGUCCUUGACUAUUUUGACCAGCACUUUGUUGAUUUUUCUGGGAAUCACUCACCGCCCAGGAUGAUGGGCUUUGCGUGCCAAAACGCAACUAGAAGAAUAAUAAGAGUCCGACCAUUUUGGUUUUGUCGUUAGAAAUGUUUAAAAGGUUAUGAAAGCAACACCUUCCUGGGACAGAUAACGGAUUUAUAGCCCCACAAUGAUCCCGGAGCUGAGAAAAAUGUUCCUGGAAAGAAAACAAGGCAUGAGACAUCCUAGUAGUUCCACCGGUCGAGUUUGACAACGGCCCUAAAGAAGACAUUCCUCUGCAAAAUCUAGCCAUAUCCAAGGUUUUUGCGAACACCAACAGUUGGGAACUUACUCUAAAACUCCUAUAUGUUUUCCUCCUCCAACGUGGCCAUGAUCCUAUUAGUUAGACUCAACUAGAAUACCUGGAUCAACCUUUGAAGGGUUACAACAAGGCACCCAGCCAAGUGGUCAAUGCUGGACACUUUAUUUCUGAUGCCAGAAGGAGCAACGAUGGACAUCUAUGUUGACAGCCACCUGAUUUGCAGAGGCUGCUUUGGCAAACAGAGAGAGAGAUGGAUGGAAAACAGUCCUUCCAGGAACAGAUCAACACCUGACCGAUUUAGACCCUUUGAGGAGGAAGAGGAGCAGGAGCAGGAGGCAAGAUGUGCAAAUGCAAAAGAGCUGGGGAGAUGCUUAAACUUCCAUGCGCUGAUCUCCAUGCUUAAGCCAGGGAAUACAUAGGAAUACAUGGUGUCCUGGAGACCUUCAAACCGCUGUGGUGUCCCUUGUUUUCUUGGCCAGGUUUAUUCAGAAGACGUUUGCCAUGGCCUUCCUUUGAGGCUGAGAGAGCAUGACUUUCCUAAGGUCACGCAGUGGGUUUCCAUGGCUAAGUGAGGAUCUGUACCUUGGUCUCCCAUAUAGUCCCUGUCCAAUACGCACGCCAUUUCUGCACUUUAGCUCCCUUGCUAUGGACUGUCCAGUUAUUUCCAGCCUUUGGAGAACCUAUCUUUGGGUUUUCUUGGCAAGAUUUGUUCGGAGGGUCAUCCUUUGAGGCUGAGAGAGUGUGUCUUGCCAAAGGCCACCCAGUGGGUUUCCAUGACUGAUGGAUAGUUGAACCCAGGCCUCCCAGUUUCCAAAUCCAAUGCUCAAAUCACAACUCCAUGUUGGCUGUGUUUAUUGCAAGCCAAUAGACUGUUUAUUGUGUUGCAUUGCAGCAAAACCAACAAAGGGUCACACAUUCUCUCUUCUGUAGGUGCCUUAAUUAUGUCCACUAUUUCCUAAUUGCAAAAGCAAAUAUACCUCUCUGUCUGAUGGAGAGCAUCCACCUUUCGCUCAAGAUCAGGGACAUGGGGUGCACCAACGAUGUGCAACAUUGGCAUUCAACGCAAGCGUCGCAUAGAAAGGUCCGUACUUUAGCACUGUGUGCGGAGAUUAAUUCUGCAGAGCUCUGAUGUCGGAUCUCAGCGAGAGCUUUAUGGCAUGAAAUUUAAACAACAUUUGGCACAAACUUCCAUAGACUUCAGCCUCUUUGUCCACAAAAGCGGAAGCCAAAGAAGCCUUGCUGCCAGCCUUCAAGGUGCCACUAAACUCUUUUUGCUGCUUGUUUGCAUCCGCAUCACUUUGAAACUUGGAACGCUCUGGUUUUAUUCUUCCAUCGAUUCUGUCCCUCAUCGCCUUUGUCCAUACUAAUGACUCUUUGGUCCUAGCAAUACAACGACAAACAGGCGACAGCUUUGGAGUUUCUUACUUUGAAGAGGAACCAGAGAUGAGGGUAAAGGAAACUACAGUCUGGCUCCCAUAGGCCCCAAAAGAAAUCCUGGAGGAAGAUUCAUUAGCGUAAUGGACCUGUCAAAUGCAAAGCUUGGAAGCCUUGAUAACCUGAACAAUUAAGUUAAGUGCUUUUAAAAGACGAAUGUUCAGGGUGCAUUUGGAAGCAUGGGCCCCAAACUGUUCUUGUUGGUCUCCUUCUUAACAUUACUUCAUAUAAAACUUGCAAAUAGGUGUAUUCUAGCACAGUGAGAUCAGACACCCAAAAAGCCAGAAUCCCUGCUUUUGUCCAGAUCAUCUCCUUUUU